AACGCACCUUGCGCCUUUUGGUAUUCCGAAAGGCAUGCCUGUUUGAGUGUCAUGUAAUCUCAACCCCUCAGGUUUCUGACCUGGGGAGGUUGGACUUGGGUGCUGCCGAUCGGCUCACCUCAAAAGCGUCAGUGGGAUAAGCACCGGUUGGACGUAAUAAGUUUCGUCAAGCCCUGGUGUGAUGCCUGCUCACAACCCCCAUCUUUUAGCUUGACCUCAAAUCAGGUAGGACUACCCGCUGAACUUAA
RNAcentral lists this unclassified non-coding RNA (248 nucleotides) under uncultured fungus. RNAcentral describes it as "partial contains 5.8S ribosomal RNA, internal transcribed spacer 2, and large subunit ribosomal RNA". The stretch from base 1 to 52 matches the Rfam family "5.8S ribosomal RNA", at positions 103 to 154 of the family's 154-position model. Lineage: Eukaryota; Fungi. The record is from RNAcentral.